This 63-nucleotide precursor RNA is filed under the name Otolemur garnettii (small-eared galago). RNAcentral's name for it is "precursor scaffold_95_7702 miRNA". It matches the Rfam family "Small nucleolar RNA SNORA84", at positions 1 to 63 of the family's 134-position model. Lineage: Eukaryota; Metazoa; Chordata; Mammalia; Primates; Galagidae. The record is from RNAcentral.
UGCCCUGUGGUUGCUGGAUGCUGUUGUGCAGGUACAGCUAUGCAGUGGAUACAAUGGGCCAUA